UGAUGACGAGACGCUAAGGCGUUGAAGCAGUGUAUGUCAGACUUCCAAGAAAAGCUCGCAAUGUCACAAAUAAAAGAUGCCUGUACCAUAACCGACACAGGUGGGUAGGUAGAGUAUACUAAGGGGCGCGAGAUAACUCUCUCUAAGGAACUCGGCAAAAUGACUCCGUAACUUCGGGAGAAGGAGUGCCUUAUUUAUAAGGUUGCAAUAACAAGAUCCAAGCAACUGUUCAUCAAAAACACAGGUCUCCGCUAAGUCGUAAGACGAUGUAUGGGGGCUGACGCCUGCCCAGUGCCAGAAGGUUAAAGAAGUUGGUUAGUGUAUGCGAAGCUGAUGACUGAAGCCCUGGUGAACGGCGGCCGUAACUAUAACGGUCCUAAGGUAGCGAAAUUCCUUGUCGGGUAAGUUCCGACCCGCACGAAAGGCGUAAUGAUUUGGAUACUGUCUCGGAGAGAGGCUCGGUGAAAUAGACUUGUCUGUGAAGAUGCGGACUACCUGCACCAGGACAGAAAGACCCUAUGAAGCUUUACUGUAACUUGAAAUUGGAAUUGGACUUUGCUUGCGCAGUAUAGGUGGGAAGCGUUGAAAAUAUUCUUGCGGGAGUAUUGGAGCUAUCAGUGAGAUACCACUCUUGUAAUGUUAGAUUUCUAACUUUGAACCAUAAUCUGGUCAAAGAACAGUUUCAGGUGGGCAGUUUGACUGGGGCGGUCGCCUCCCAAAUGGUAACGGAGGCGUACAAAGGUUUCCUCUGAACGGAUAGAAAUCGUAUCUAGAGUGUAAAGGCAUAAGGAAGCUUGACUGUGAGACCUACAAGUCGAGCAGGGACGAAAGUCGGUCUUAGUGAUCUGACGGUACUGAGUGGAAAGGCCGUCACUCAACGGAUAAAAGUUACUCUAGGGAUAACAGGCUGAUCUCCCCCAAGAGUUCACAUCGACGGGGAGGUUUGGCACCUCGAUGUCGGCUCAUCGCAUCCUGGGGCGGUAGUACGUCCCAAGGGUUGGGCUGUUCGCCCAUGAAAGCGGUACGCGAGCUGGGUUCAGAACGUCGUGAGACAGUUCGGUCCAUAUCCGGUGUAGGCGCUAGAAUAUUGAGAGGAGCCUUCUUUAGUACGAGAGGACCGAGAAGGACACACCGCUGGUGUACCAGUUAUCGUGCCAACGGUAAACGCUGGGUAGCUAUGUGUGGAGUGGAUAACCGCUGAAAGCAUCUAAGUGGGAAGCCCACCUCGAGAUGAGUAUUCAC
This 1242-nucleotide ribosomal RNA is filed under the name metagenome. RNAcentral describes it as "bacterial LSU rRNA". It matches the Rfam family "Bacterial large subunit ribosomal RNA", at positions 1564 to 2815 of the family's 2925-position model. The record is from RNAcentral.